GGGCCGGGAGGGGGAUGCCCACAUUGAAUUUAUGCUUUUCUGUUUCCUUCUGAAAUGUAACAAAAAACUUUUACGUGAAGGAUUUUUAAAAAAUCUAUGGAACACCGCUCACACCUGUAAUCCCAGCACUUUGGGAGGCUGAGGCAGGAGGAUCACUUGAGCCCAGGGGUUCAAGAACAGGGCUGAGCAAAGGUGAGACCCCGCCUCUACAAACAAUACAAAAAUUAGCUGGGUGUGUGUCCCGGCUACUGGGGAGGCUGAGGUGGGAAGAUCACCUGCACGGGGGAGGCCGAGGCUGCAGUGGGCUGUGACCAUGCCACUGCGCUCCAGCCUGGACGAUAGAGUGAGACCUUGUCUCAAAAGAAGAAAGAGAAACCUGAGACAAGUUAACGUGGGAAACCCACAGAUACUGCCCAGUCGAGACCCUGGCGUAGCAGAGGGACCCGAGUCUGUGCGGGGAGGCUCCAGCCAGAGGGGCGUCCUCUCGUCUGCCGUCACCUGGUCUCGGCCUCUGCUGGAAACUCUGGUUGAAUCACGGACAACAUUUAUGAAAAUUGUAGAGAAAACUGGAGACUGUGAAUGCCGUUUCACCCUUCAAGGAGGGCUUGCUGCUGCUGUUGACAUGCAGCUGGGGUGCCAUAGACGCCUAUAUCCAGCACCAGAUUCCUAUCUCAGUUGAAGGUCUGGCAUCUGGGGGUCCCCAUGGUGGGGCGCCCAUUCCAGCUUGUGCCCCUCCAGCCCCAGGAGACUGCUCUGCUCAGAAACCAUCAGCAAAUGCACCGGGGAGGGUGGUGCCUUAAGACAGACAGAGUCACUUCUCUGGGCUGCCAGAGGCACCGGAAGCCGGGUGCCUCAGGCCCUGGCAGUUCCGUCACUCUCCAACGCCUCCCCCACAGACUUCUUUUUGCUAAAUGGUAUCAAGAUUUUCUCAUUGUUGUCAGCAAGAGAGUUGGUUUUCUAACAUCUCAUCGACCAUGGCUGGAGGUCAAAUCGAUGUUUAAACUUGCUGGAAAUAAACGGCUCCUUUCUUGCAUGGCUCGAUGCGCAAUAAGGUUCCUCUGUGUCAUUUUGUUUACGAUUUUUAGGAUUGCUUUUUAAAGCCGGACACGGCGGCUGAUGGCUGUAAUCCCAGCACUUUAGGAGGCCGAGGCAGGAGGAUCACUUGAGAUAAGGAGUUCAGGACCAGCAUGGGCAACACAGCGAGACCCCAUCUCUAUAGAAAACACAAAAAUGAGGCUGGGGGUGCUCAUACACGCACUGAGGGUUGACCCUGGUGUUCUUGCCUUCUUAGAUUCUUCUGGAGCUGGAGAUGAACUCGGACCUCAAGGCCCAGCUCAGGGAGCUGAAUAUUACAGCAGUGAGGGAAACUGAAGUUGGUGGUGGUGAGAAAGUUAUUAUGGGCAGGUGCAGCAGCUCACGCCU
RNAcentral lists this long non-coding RNA (1422 nucleotides) under Homo sapiens (human). RNAcentral's name for it is "novel transcript". The record is from RNAcentral. Lineage: Eukaryota; Metazoa; Chordata; Mammalia; Primates; Hominidae.